GUCGUUGGGAACCAACGAUUUAGAAGAGCUGUGAGAAUCGAAGGGGGCUGUUACCCACUAAGAACAGCCUCACAACACUACAUAGCUUCCAUCAUGAACCAGGGAAAUUAAAAGAAAAACAUUUCCUGGCCACCUCGUUUGAGGAGCGGUUUUCUCAACAGCUCAGAUUCAGUAUCCAUUGCUCUACCUGGCCCUCGCUUCCUCCACUGCAGCUAACCUGGAACCAUCAUCAACCUGGAUAUGAAUUGAUCAUUAAUAAAAGGACUGGUGUAUCAAGGACCUACUCAUGAGGCUAACAAUCCCCGACUGACUUGUAUCUACUGGUGCCGUCUACUUUUGCUGUGGCAUCCUCGUCUCCAUGGCGGGUCACUGUACAGCCUGGCAGCAGCACUAGCAUAGGUGCCUGGGUAGCACCUAUACUGAAUAAGUCGGUUCAUCUUCUAAAUGUGGCUACGUCCAACACAAAGACCUACUGUAUCCAACACCUUGAAGUUGUUGUGCUAUCUACUCUUUCUCUGUUCUGUUUAUUGCUCACAUCAACCUUUCCUGUCACUGUCAGGCUGUGUGUGUGGGGUGGG
Esox lucius (northern pike) is the source of this 578-nucleotide long non-coding RNA. NCBI's taxonomy places the organism in Eukaryota, Metazoa, Chordata, Actinopteri, Esociformes, Esocidae. The record is from Ensembl.